This 432-nucleotide ribosomal RNA is filed under the name uncultured Arthrobacter sp. Its description in RNAcentral is "bacterial SSU rRNA". It matches the Rfam family "Bacterial small subunit ribosomal RNA", at positions 358 to 790 of the family's 1533-position model. Lineage: Bacteria; Bacillati; Actinomycetota; Actinomycetes; Micrococcales; Micrococcaceae. The record is from RNAcentral.
GGAAUAUUGCACAAUGGGCGAAAGCCUGAUGCAGCGACGCCGCGUGAGGGAUGACGGCCUUCGGGUUGUAAACCUCUUUCAGUAGGGAACAAGGCCAGCAUUUUUGUUGGUUGAGGGUACUUGCAGAAGAAGCGCCGGCUAACUACGUGCCAGCAGCCGCGGUAAUACGUAGGGCGCAAGCGUUAUCCGGAAUUAUUGGGCGUAAAGAGCUCGUAGGCGGUUUGUCGCGUCUGCCGUGAAAGUCCGGGGCUCAACUCCGGAUCUGCGGUGGGUACGGGCAGACUAGAGUGAUGUAGGGGAGACUGGAAUUCCUGGUGUAGCGGUGAAAUGCGCAGAUAUCAGGAGGAACACCGAUGGCGAAGGCAGGUCUCUGGGCAUUAACUGACGCUGAGGAGCGAAAGCAUGGGGAGCGAACAGGAUUAGAUACCCGGG